RNAcentral lists this ribosomal RNA (23 nucleotides) under Aspergillus sp. RNAcentral's name for it is "partial 18S ribosomal RNA". Lineage: Eukaryota; Fungi; Ascomycota; Eurotiomycetes; Eurotiales; Aspergillaceae. The record is from RNAcentral. RNAcentral also lists the same sequence under 8 other names.
AGGUGACCUGCGGAGGAUCAUUA